RNAcentral lists this ribosomal RNA (375 nucleotides) under uncultured bacterium. Its description in RNAcentral is "bacterial SSU rRNA". It matches the Rfam family "Bacterial small subunit ribosomal RNA", at positions 521 to 896 of the family's 1533-position model. The record is from RNAcentral.
UAAUACGAAGGGGGCUAGCGUUGUUCGGAAUUACUGGGCGUAAAGCGCACGCAGGCGGAUUGAUUAGUCGGGGGUGAAAUCCCGGGGCUCAACCUCGGAAUUGCCUUCGAUACUGUCAGUCUUGAGUCCGGGAGAGGUGAGUGGAAUUCCUAGUGUAGAGGUGAAAUUCGUAGAUAUUAGGAAGAACACCAGUGGCGAAGGCGGCUCACUGGCCCGGUACUGACGCUCAUGUGCGAAAGCGUGGGGAGCAAACAGGAUUAGAUACCCUGGUAGUCCACGCCGUAAACGAUGGAUGCUAGCCGUUGGGGAGCUUGCUCUUCGGUGGCGCAGCUAACGUAUUAAGCAUCCCGCCUGGGGAGUACGGUCGCAAGAUUA